Molecule: unclassified non-coding RNA, 554 nt
Filed under: Hevea brasiliensis (rubber tree)
Lineage: Eukaryota; Viridiplantae; Streptophyta; Magnoliopsida; Malpighiales; Euphorbiaceae
Source: RNAcentral
GCUGUCACACUCAGAGGAAAUGUAAGCAUGUUUUUCAUUCUUAUAUGUGGUCUGUUUUAAGUUUGGGUUUAUGGUUUUGCUUUGUCUCUAAAUUUUGUUGUCAUCUAUUUCCCAUUCUUUGUUUCCAGAUAUAAAUGCUCUGUCUUGACUCUUAGCUUUCAAAUUUCAUAUUGAAGUUUAACAUUGUCAUUGCUUGAUUCUUCUAACAUUUUGAGAAUAAUCUUUAAAUAACUAGAAUACUUAAAUUAGUGUGUUCUAAUUCUAUUGGAAUUAAUAUGGACUUCCUUAAUGAAAAUGAGACUCGAGAAUCUAUCUUUAAUAACAACUAAAAUGCAAGUGAGGGCAACAGAUCUAGCUGUGUAACUGGUUAUCAAUUAUGGUCAGCAGUAGUAAUGAUGAAUGUAAAUAUUGGUAGUAAAGGUGGCAUUAUUUUAACAUAGCAGUUAAUUGGCAAUGGUGAUGGUUGUAAUAUGAUGAAGUUGCAAAUUAGUGUUUUUCAAGUGCAAUUUUUGUCAUGUGCAAUCACAUUUCAAAUUUUUUGUAUUAAUUUUUUU